AGCUCCAUUAACUGCUGACUUGGCAGUGAGGGAAGAGGAAUCAGAAUAUGAAUGUGGCUGGGAAGGGGAUUUCUGUAAGGUGCCCAGCACCAGCUGCCUCACCUCAUAGCCCAACACCCUGCCCGUGAGCCUGUUCCAUGCGAUGGGCUGCCAGGAGACCUCCACCUCUGCCGCCGAAAUGCUCAGUGCCGAAGUCCCUGCUGGUGCUAUCUGUGGCUCUGGGUCAUGGGAGAAAACAAAGCCAGUGGAAAAAUUGUGGUAUUAAAAGGGUGUUGUCUCAGAAACUUAAAGAGAUUGAAGAAAAAAAGACAAGAUUUUUGGUGGAAGCCUCAGGCAGAGGCUCAAGAACGCUGGUAUGAAUCCCUAGCUUUGCUGCCCGUUUACUGUGGAGCACCAGCAAAAUUGUAAUUUUUCAAAAUUGAUCAUAACCUGUGAUCUGGGACAGAUUUUUAGGGAAGGUCAGCUGCACAGAGUGAUCUGGUCCCUCUAACAGAUGCAGGAUGAAAUCCAGGCUCAGCCCGAGCCAGUGACUGAAAGCCUCUGGAUUUCAGCAGGGCUGUGAUUUCACCCAUAGACUUUUCCCCAUUAGACAGCUUAGGUUAAUUGAGCUAACAAUUACCUCCCAUGUGAUGACCAGCUCGGAACGGCUCCCUCCUCCUCCACUGAUGUUUGUUGGUGCCACCACAGGAACUGGAGAACAAGAGACAUCGGCGCUUGCAGCAACCCCCUGCUGCUGCCUCGUCCACUGCAAGAUUAAAGGGUUUCCUCCCAGAUCCUCUCACAUGCAGCUACUCUGCCUUUCAACACGUAGAACAGUGACUACCUUAUAUAACGGUACAUUUUAAAUGAACUGAAAUUAUGUUUACACAUUUUCAAGUUUCUAAGGCUGAAGCCACAGAUGUAUUUGAUACAUGAGUACCCUGGUUCAAAAAAUUAAUUAAAGAAGCUAGUAGCAUCAAGUAUCUGACAUUAUUAUGCCUCAUCAACUAAUUGGCAAAAUGAUGUUCCAUUCAGACUGUAGCUGCAACACUACUGAUUUACUAAUUAUGCAUUUGUUCAGUAAACAUGUUGUUGGAGCAAUAUAUUAAUUUUUUUUAAUUGGCUGUAUGCUUUGCUUAGGAAAUUCAAAAGUCGUAAUUUUUCUCCUCCCAAGACAGCAAGUGGCCAGAAGUGCAUUGAUUAGAACUUGAUUUCCCCAGCAUUACUCCAGGUGUAUGGCCCCAUAGGUCCAUAGUCAAGGUCAAAUAACAUGCUGGUGCUGCAGGCUGAAGGGGCUUCUCAACUGUCAAAUGGCUCUUGGUGGAGAGGCAAGGAAAAUAACAGUAUUUCCUGUUUCUUGCUCCAUAUUUCAGGAAACAUGCUCACCCCAUUAGCCUAUAAAUAUUUCUACUUCUGGGGAACUGGGUUGUGGUAUAAUGGGGGGGAUUUAAAGAAGUUUUUUUCCUAUUAUAUAAUUUGCCAUAAAUUUACUUGCAAGGAUGAUGUCAUGUUUUUUUCUGUUGCUGGAGGAGCAUGAACAAAAAAAAAAGACAACUCUGUAACUUACAGAUCCCCGAAAUAUAUAUGAGAGCAUUCAUUCUCUUUGCCAUCUCCAGACAUUUGCUACUAUUUCUACAAGUUUCAAGAUUGUUUUUUUGUUCCCUUCAUUCAGCUUCUACUGCCUAAAAGUUGGAUGUGUCAAGACAGGGCUGAAAACAGGGUCAGAAAUGGGCAGGACAGUUAUAUCUCAGAAGUUUUUUUCAGAGAUUUUGGCAAGUUCUGCCAUGACUGCCUGCCCUUCCCUAUGUUUUUCUUCCAGUGUUGGUACAGCUGCAGCAGUAACAAUAAAGGCAAUAGCCCUCCAUGCUCACAGAAAUUUGUGUGAAUCAGCUGUCACUUCUACAUUCAAACUCACAUCUAAAUCUUUAUCUGACUCCAUUCUCUCUAGAAAUGUGGAAAUUUAAAGAUAAUUUUGUUUUGCAGUCAGAAAAGUAAAUGAAAGUACAAAUGGACUAAGCUCUUUUUUUUCUUUUUUUUUUUUUUGAGAGUUUAGCAUAGGUAUUUAGUUUUAUCACUCACAAUCCAUGUCUUUGUGCACAUCAGAGGUAAAUAAUCUAAGACUGAAAAGAACAUUAAAGAAAG
Long non-coding RNA from Cygnus olor (mute swan), 2121 nucleotides. RefSeq lists it as uncharacterized. The transcript has 2 exons. The record is from RefSeq and is a predicted model, not a curated record. NCBI's taxonomy places the organism in Eukaryota, Metazoa, Chordata, Aves, Anseriformes, Anatidae.